UACGUAGGGUGCGAGCGUUAAUCGGAAUUACUGGGCGUAAAGCGUGCGUAGGCGGUUCGUCAAGUCUGAUGUGAAAGCCCCGGGCUCAACCUGGGAACUGCAUUGGAAACUAGCGAGCUUGAGUGUGGCAGAGGGGGGUGGAAUUCCACGUGUAGCAGUGAAAUGCGUAGAGAUGUGGAGGAACACCGAUGGCGAAGGCAGCCCCCUGGGUCAAGAUUGACGCUCAUGCACGAAAGCGUGGGGAGCAAACAGG
This 253-nucleotide ribosomal RNA is filed under the name uncultured bacterium. Its description in RNAcentral is "partial 16S ribosomal RNA". It matches the Rfam family "Bacterial small subunit ribosomal RNA", at positions 524 to 776 of the family's 1533-position model. The record is from RNAcentral.